This 248-nucleotide ribosomal RNA is filed under the name uncultured bacterium. RNAcentral describes it as "partial 16S ribosomal RNA". It matches the Rfam family "Bacterial small subunit ribosomal RNA", at positions 524 to 769 of the family's 1533-position model. The record is from RNAcentral.
UACGUAGGGUGCAAGCGUUUAAUCGGAAUUACUGGGCGUAAAGCGUGCGCAGGCGGUUUGGUAAGACAGAUGUGAAAUCCCCGGGCUUAACCUGGGAAUUGCAUUUGUGACUGCCCGGCUAGAGUGUGUCAGAGGGGGGUAGAAUUCCACGUGUAGCAGUGAAAUGCGUAGAUAUAUGGAGGAAUACCGAUGGCGAAGGCAGCCCCCCUGGGAUAACACUGACGCUCAUGCACGAAAGCGUGGGGAGC